This is a long non-coding RNA of Zingiber officinale, 413 nucleotides long. RefSeq lists it as uncharacterized. The transcript has 4 exons. The record is from RefSeq and is a predicted model, not a curated record. Lineage: Eukaryota; Viridiplantae; Streptophyta; Magnoliopsida; Zingiberales; Zingiberaceae.
CUUUACAACCUAACCAUCCAUAAGCAUUGUCAAGCCUUGGCAACAUAUACAAGGACUGUAACAUGAUGAGUGUUGUUGCAUCAUUCUAUAAGGCAACUUUAGCAGUUACAACAGGGAUAUCUGCGCCUUUCAACAACUUGGCUAUUAUAUACAAGCAACAGGGAAAUUAUGCAGAAGCGAUAGCCUGUUACAAUGAAGUUCUUCACAAACUGCUGCUGAUGGUCUUGUCAAUAGAGGGAACACAUUUAAGGAGAUUGGUAGAGUUACUGAAGCAAUUCAGGAUUAUAUACGUGCUGUGAAUAUCAGACCAACUAUGCCUGAAGCCCAUGCAAAUUUGGCUUCAGCUUACAAAGAUAGUUUACAAAUCUCAAGUAUUUCAGAGUUGAAAUUGAUGAAGUGCGGUUCGAGUGGGC